Long non-coding RNA from Symphalangus syndactylus (siamang), 306 nucleotides. RefSeq lists it as uncharacterized. NCBI's taxonomy places the organism in Eukaryota, Metazoa, Chordata, Mammalia, Primates, Hylobatidae. The record is from RefSeq and is a predicted model, not a curated record.
UGGAACUUGUCAGAAAUGGAAGUUCCCAGGCCCCAUGCCAGACCUACUGAAUUGGAAACACUAGGGGUGUUUCUGACCAAGCCUUCCAGAACUCUAGGCUCUGCAGCGUUAGAAUUCUUGGUCCCCAAGGGGGACACACUCACCUGGAAAGCCAGCAAGGGGCACAUUGAAUACACCUUAUGACUGCUCCCUGGGCACUUUGGGAUCCUUGUGUCCAGGAACCAGCAGGGGGCUUCCCCCUUCGCUGGGCACUCAUUCUCCUUCCUGCCACCCUGUGAAGAAGGAUGUGCUUGCUUCCCCUCCCAG